GAUGAACGCUAGCUACAGGCUUAACACAUGCAAGUCGAGGGGAAACGAUAUUGGAAGCUUGCUUCCGAUAGGCGUCGACCGGCGCACGGGUGAGUAACGCGUAUCCAACCUGCCCGUCACUUGGGAAUAACCUUGCGAAAGUAAGACUAAUGCCCAAUGACAUUUAUAGAAGGCAUCUGAAAUGAAUUAAAGAUUUAUCGGUGAUGGAUGGGGAUGCGUCUGAUUAGCUUGUUGGCGGGGUAACGGCCCACCAAGGCGACGAUCAGUAGGGGUUCUGAGAGGAAGGUCCCCCACAUUGGAACUGAGACACGGGUCCAAACUCCUACGGGAGGCAGCAGUGAGGAAUAUUGGUCAAUGGGCGAGAGCCUGAACCAGCCAAGUAGCGUGCAGGAAGACGGCCCUAUGGGUUGUAAACUGCUUUUAUGCGGGGGAUAAAGUGGGGGGACGCGUCCCUUUUUGCAGGUACCGCAUGAAUAAGGACCGGCUAAUUCCGUG
RNAcentral lists this ribosomal RNA (495 nucleotides) under uncultured bacterium. RNAcentral's name for it is "bacterial SSU rRNA". It matches the Rfam family "Bacterial small subunit ribosomal RNA", at positions 28 to 507 of the family's 1533-position model. The record is from RNAcentral.